Molecule: long non-coding RNA, 3545 nt
Organism: Panicum virgatum (switchgrass)
Lineage: Eukaryota; Viridiplantae; Streptophyta; Magnoliopsida; Poales; Poaceae
Exons: 6
Source: RefSeq, a predicted model, not a curated record
UGGAAAUUUGAGGACCUGCGGCCAGGCCCCUGCCCCCCACGGCUCGCAACCUCGCUCCACUCCGGCGUCCCUGCGCCUCCCCGCCGACUUCCCCACCAGCCCUCACCACUGCCGAGCUCCUCGGCUCUGUCCCCCCGCUCUUCGGCGGCUCCUCAAACUCCAACGAGCCGACGCCUCCCCGAUGACCUGCACCGAUCCGAGACCCUCAGCCACGUUCGCCGUCGCCCUUGGAUCUGCGCACCAUGGCUCACCCCGUCGCUGGCCUCCCGCUACCGUGUGAAUCCCCGACUCGGACGUCAGAUGUGGCUUCGACUACGACCUCAUGAUCAUCGGAGAUAGUGUCGGCGGCCACGGCGCCGCCCUCCACGCCAUCGAGAAGGGUCAGCUACUGUUCUUUUGUAAGAGAGGGCAACUUCAACUCUAACAAUAUAAGGAGACCAAAGGUUGGAUGAGGAGAUGAAGGUCAAGCAGAUGAGGAAGGAGAUGGUGCCAAGAGCACAUCUGAUGCUAGAUUGUGCCUAAAAGGUAGCAGGUCUCGAGCCGUCUUCUCUCCUCUUUUAAUCUCAUUCAAUUUACAUGAUCAAAUAUUUAAUAUUUACAGCUACCAAUUAUGAACUUCUAUUAGGUUAGUCAUGAUCACUUCAACAUAUGCAGCUGUUAUUCUGAAAUCAGAAUUAUUUUAACAAUGUUUCUAAUUAUUUUGGAAUUCAUAAAAACAUUUCUGGAUAGUCAUUUAAUUUGUUUCUGAUGGAUGAUCGAGCUGGUACCUUAGAAUAGCUAGCAGAUUUCAUAUAGUAACCCAACUAAGAAUACAAGGCUGCAAACCCAACAUUGGGGUAGAAAUCUCCCACUCAAUAACAUUGCAAAUAGAAAGAAACAUUGGUUUUGUCGCAAUGUUAUAUUGCAAAUAGAAUGAUGUGGGUUUGCAAUUGUCUGUACUAUGUAGCACAUCAAGUGACUUCUCUAGCUCUGUAGUGCAUCUUUCUUGUUCUGUCAAGCCUGUAAUAAUUAUUUAGUCCUCAUAGCAUUGGAAUUGACAUCACUAUCCAAUAUUGGACUAUCCAAUAUGUGAGCCUGUAAUAGUUAAGUUUUUCUGAGUAUGCAUAGUUGAUGCUGCGCAGUUUAUUUUCUUCUCCAUCCGCAUGCUGUUUAUGCUGAGUUCUUUGAUUCAUAUCUGAGUUCCUUUUCAAUUCCUUGCAACGUGUGGUUCUGCCUCCCCCGUGGUUCUGCCCACCGCUGAAAACAACAGGCGCACAAAGCAAGCGGUUCCUCGACUAAAAAAAAAGACGAGCGGUUCCGGUUCCCCCCAUCUCGCUCCCGCUCGCGCCGCCCUCCAUGGUUGAAUAAUAAGACACAAACUAGAUACGGAAUCGCUACGUUUCUCCGUCUCGCUCGCCGACGCCGCCGGUCCGUCCCCUCGCACUGCCCUCGCCUCCCCGUCUCGCUCGCCGCUGCCGCCGCCCCCUCACCGGAAACGAGGAGGACCCGAGGGAGGACGCCGCGCCGCCGGUACUCCCGCGCCUCUACUCCUGCCGUCGCCUCCCCAUCUCGCGAGCUGUCGCCGCCGCCGCUCCGCCGUUCCCCUCACCGGAAGCGAGGACUCGAGGGAGGGCGCCGCGCCGCGCCGCCGGUCCGCAACCUCCAGUGGCGGAGCCACAGGGGGUGCUGGGGGUGCUCCAGCCCCCCUACUCCCAUAGAACCCAUGGAGGCCCCCCAACAUUUUUCAAGCAUGAGUGAAGAAGAGGAAGAAGAAAGGAGGAGGAAGAAGAAGAAAAAGGAAGGAGGGAGGAAGAAGAAAGGAAAAUGAGCCCCUCCUCAAUUUGAAUCCCAGCUCCGCCACUGGCAACCUCCUCCCUCCCCCUACCCGAAGCCCACAGCCCGCCGCCGCCGGGAGGUCAGCUCCUCCACUUCUGUCGGGGAAUUUGCUGUUCGUCUUCCUCUUGGGGCGAAGGAGGGAUUCAGUUGGUCGUUUCAGAAUGUUGGGCUCGGCGGCUUCAAGCUCGCUGUCGCCUUCAAGGACCUGUGCAACGCAUCGGCGAGGCCAAGGUGGAGAUCGUUCUGGUCGAGGGGAGCUCGGGGAAACGGUAGUGGCCACGUUCAACCAGCUCGGCACCACCACACUUGUCAUCGGCCUAGCUUCAUCUACAGGUGAGUGCACACUCGCCGAAUUCGAUUGAAGCAGCAACUUUAAGCAUAUGCAUAGUAAAAGUUUAGGAUAUGCAUUACCAAAAAGAGCUAUAUUUAUUUAAUGAAAAAUUGAUCCCAUCCUAUCCUGCAUCCUGAUGGUUCUUGAUCCCAUCCUAUCCUGCAUCCUUUAUUUAUUUUUGAACUGGGUAAAUGCAAGGAACAUGCCAGAAUGCUAGAAUGAGAUUACAGUUCCAGAAAUUCAUGAGCUAUCUUUUUGCAUGAGACAACUUGUAAUACGUUACUUUAGAUCACAUGAAACAUGUUGCAUAAAUCUGGGUUGAGUGCACGCUCGCCAUUUUCGAUUGAAGCGGCAACUUUAAGCAUAUGCAUAGUAAAAGUUUAGGAUAUGCAUUACGAAAAAGAGCUAUAUUUAUUUAAUUAAAAAUUGAUCCCAUCCUAUCCUGCAUCCUGAUGGUUCUUGAUCCCAUCCUAUCCUGCAUCCGUUAUUUAUUUUUGAACUGGGUAAAUGCAAGGAACAUGCCAGAAUGCUAGAAUGAGAUUACAGUUCCAGAAAUUCAUGAGCUAUCUUUUUGCAUGAGACAACUUGUAAUACUUUACUUUAGAUCACAUGAAACAUGUUGCAUAAAUCUGGGUUGCAAUGGCUUGCAAAGCAAUAACAUUGUUUUUAUGUAUUUUGUUGCCCACUGAGUUUAUUUUCCCCUUCAUACACCAGUAUGGCAGGAACAAUGCUAUAUGUGUUCCAAGAUGCUGCCUGAGUGCUUUAGUACCAGCAAAUCAUAAUCUGUGUACAUUUUAUUUCUAGGAAGUUAAUGCUAUAUGUGCGUUGAUGCUAAUUGCUUAAAGGAAUUUCUACUGUAAAAUAAGCUAUUUGAUUUCAAGCAAGUAGAAUUUUUGGACAUAUUGUGGUAUAGAAUAUUUUAGUAAUUGCAUAUGCAGAUUAAUUUUUGGAGGAAAAGAUUUAAUACUUUGGUUUCAUGUCGUAUUCAUAUAAAGUGUUUUUUGCCAAGAUAAAAUUGCUAGAUGGAAUCACUGAAUGUUGUAUAGUUUUUCUUUUGUCAGUUCUAAAUAAUUUGCCAGUGAAUGUCACUGAAUGUUGUAUUAUUCACUUAAUUUGUCAGUUCUAUAGUUUUUCUUUUUGCAAUGUGCUAGAUAAUUUCUGUACAAUGGAAUAGCUUACUGGUGGCCCAUGUUCUACUGCCACCCAAGCAUGCCUCGAUCUCUUGGAGUGUUGUCGAUUGUUAACAUGGCUAAAGAUUGGGGACAUUGUCAAGGAAGACAACCGGGUGCAUGCUCAUCAUGGCCUCUACUAUAGGGAGAUCCUUCUCAGAACGUCCAUGUGCCCCUAGGUUAUCAGGGGGAAGAUUACCUUUGGUGUGUAGCUUUUAGAACCUAGACAU